RNAcentral lists this transfer RNA (75 nucleotides) under Lupinus albus (white lupine). RNAcentral describes it as "tRNA-Lys". It matches the Rfam family "tRNA". Rfam says of the family: Transfer RNA (tRNA) molecules are approximately 80 nucleotides in length. Their secondary structure includes four short double-helical elements and three loops (D, anti-codon, and T loops). Lineage: Eukaryota; Viridiplantae; Streptophyta; Magnoliopsida; Fabales; Fabaceae. The record is from RNAcentral.
AGCCGUCUUAGCUCAGUGGUAGAGCGCGUGGCUUUUAACCACGUGGUCGUGGUUCGAUCCCCACAGACGGCGACG